GCAUAGUUCAAGGUAGAACAGUGGUCUCCAAAACCAUCGAUGUGGGUUCGAUUCCUACUGCU
This 62-nucleotide transfer RNA is filed under the name Eisenbergiella tayi. It matches the Rfam family "tRNA", at positions 5 to 66 of the family's 71-position model. Rfam says of the family: Transfer RNA (tRNA) molecules are approximately 80 nucleotides in length. Their secondary structure includes four short double-helical elements and three loops (D, anti-codon, and T loops). Lineage: Bacteria; Bacillati; Bacillota; Clostridia; Lachnospirales; Lachnospiraceae. The record is from RNAcentral.